Molecule: ribosomal RNA, 771 nt
Filed under: Triticum aestivum (bread wheat)
Lineage: Eukaryota; Viridiplantae; Streptophyta; Magnoliopsida; Poales; Poaceae
Description: partial small subunit ribosomal RNA
Source: RNAcentral
AUGCGCGGCAAAAAGAGGGCAUUGUCGCCGCCGGCCGUCGCCGUCGAUGCCACGGCAAGGCUCCAGGACCGGCACCUCGCCGAGAUACUCCUGCGGCUCCCCUCCCCCGCUAGCCUCGCGCGCGCCGCCGUCGUCUGCCGGCGUUGGCGCCGAAUCUCCGUCUCCGCGGCUUUCCUUCGCCAGUUCCGCCGCCUCCACCCGCCCCAACUCGUCGGCUUCUUUAUCUGCAACGGUGGUUUUCAUGUGGAGAGGGUCGGCGGCCGCCUCGUCGGCCACAUACUCGACCCCACCUUCCUCCCGGUGCUCCCGCCGCCUCAGGGCGUCGGAAGGCCCACCCAGCGCUGCCUCGACUUCUCCCUCCGUCGCGUCCCCGACGUGGACCACUGGACCCUCGCUGACGCCCGCGACGGCCUUCUCCUCCUCAGCUCUACCUUCAACGAUCGCAUGAGCAUCCCGCGCAACUUCGUCGUCUGUGAUCCCUUGUCCCGCCGCUCUGUCCUCGUGGAGCACGCGCCGACGUAUCAGCUCGACGGCGAAAGCGCCUACCUCGGCGCCGCUCUGAUCGUCGUGGACGGCGGAGCCGGCUCGAGUACCCUCUCCUUCGAGGUGAUCCUCGUGACCUACUUCAUGUUUGGGCCGCGCCUCUGCGUCUUCUCCUCGCGCACGGGGCAAUGGAGCGUUCAUCCCGAAGCCAGGUGCGGCAAGUCCCUGAUGCCGAUGCUGAGCGGGGUGGGCGACCCCGCGCACGCCAAUGGUGCGUGUACUGGGUGA